GACAGAGGGUGCGAACGUUGUUCGGAAUUACUGGGCGUAAAGGGCGCGUAGGCGGUCAGCACAAGUCAGUUGUGAAAUCUCCGGGCUUAACUCGGAAAGGUCAACUGAUACUGUGCGACUAGAGUGCGGAAGGGGCAACUGGAAUUCUCGGUGUAGCGGUGAAAUGCGUAGAUAUCGAGAGGAACACCUGCGGCGAAGGCGGGUUGCUGGGCCGACACUGACGCUGAUGCGCGAAAGCCAGGGGAGCGAACGGG
Molecule: ribosomal RNA, 254 nt
Filed under: uncultured bacterium
Lineage: Bacteria
Description: partial 16S ribosomal RNA
Rfam family: Bacterial small subunit ribosomal RNA
Source: RNAcentral